RNAcentral lists this ribosomal RNA (254 nucleotides) under uncultured bacterium. RNAcentral describes it as "partial 16S ribosomal RNA". It matches the Rfam family "Bacterial small subunit ribosomal RNA", at positions 524 to 777 of the family's 1533-position model. The record is from RNAcentral.
UACAGAGGUCUCAAGCGUUGUUCGGAAUCACUGGGCGUAAAGGGUGCGUAGGCCGCACGGUAAGUCAGAGGUGAAAUCCCGGAGCUCAACUCCGGAAUGGCCUCCGAUACUGCCGUGCUCGAGGACUGGAGAGGAGUCUGGAAUUCACAGUGGAGCAGUGAAAUGCGUGGAUAUUGUGAGGAACACUAGUGGCGAAGGCGAGACUCUGGACAGUUCCUGACGCUGAGGCACGAAGGCCAGGGGAGCAAACGGGG